CAGUUCGGAUUGUAGUCUGCAACCCGACUACAUGAAGCCGGAAUCGCUAGUAAUCGCGAAUCAGAAUGUCGCGGUGAAUACGUUCCCGGGUCUUGUACACACCGCCCGUCACACCAUGGGAGCCGGAAAUGCCCGAAGUCAGUGGCCCAACCUUAAAGGAGGGAGCUGCCGAAGGUGGAGCUGGUAACUGGGGUGAAGUCGUAACAAGGUACC
RNAcentral lists this ribosomal RNA (213 nucleotides) under uncultured bacterium. RNAcentral describes it as "partial 16S ribosomal RNA". It matches the Rfam family "Bacterial small subunit ribosomal RNA", at positions 1289 to 1500 of the family's 1533-position model. The record is from RNAcentral.